UAAGGGGGUGCACAGGGAAGGCUGAGGGUGGGGGGCAGCAGAGGGGAAAAUGGAAGAGGGCUGGGGAGCUUGGACUGACGUGCUUGUCGUUCAGGGAGAAAUCCAAGUCAGACCAGAACUGGUUUGGUCCUGGGCUGUGUUUCUCUGAAUGCAAUAAGAUGCUGUGGCCCCCGAUCGGUUCAGAAAUGAGUUUUACUCCUUAAACUCUAGUGGCUGUUUUUUCUGCCCCUUUCCUAGAAGCCUCGCAGCUUCCACCUGGAAGGGGACGUAGAAAUGACCCAGCAGCUGACCUUCGGAGCAGGGCUGAGGCUCAGGAAGCGCUCAGUGGCUGGAGGCUCCGCCCAGAGGCCUGGCAGCGGCUCUCCUAACCCUCCUGAAAUGAGGGAUUUGGGGCACCAUCUCCUCUGCCUGGGCCUCCUCAUCUGCAAAGUGGGGCGAGCACCCCUUCCCGCACCUCUGGCCUCAUCACCCUACUUUGAAAAGCAAAUGAGAGAGCAGAUGUGAAAGUUCUCUGAAAAGGCAGAAGUGUCGGUGGGCCGAAGGAACUGCUAUUCAUAGCCCGUCUUCAACCUGGGCUGCGGUGAGAGCCCGUUAAAAGUGCAGCGCCCGCGGGAACAGGCAGGGCGGCCCGCUUCCAGCUCGGUCCUGCCCAGGGGUCCACUCUGGACAGUUCCUCCUUAUUCGAAGAUGCAUCACCCCUGAAAUGACUGAGGUGAAGCAGAGGGAACACGAAACCCUGUGACGUCCUGAAAUAAGAGCCUGCAGUUCAGUGGAAGACAGCACGGUUAAAAUUCUAUUUAAACACGAGACCUCCUUCAUUGAGAAACUUCGCAACCUCAGAGGCCCUCUAGUGCCCAAUUUGGGAUAUUGGAUGCAGGUCCCUGUGCUCUAGGGGGACCGAGUGGCUCCUCCGCGGCCGUGUUGUAGUCCUUCAUUCUUCACAAAGCCCACUGCCACGCGUGCCCUCAGUAAGGAAGUGCGGGGACUGGUCGGAAGCGGGACUCACCGGCUUGUGUUUGCAGAAAGAACUUCAGAGCUCCGCGCCCCGGCGAGAGAGGCGGUGUCGCCGUGGGGGUUGUCAAUGUCCUCUGCGUUCGUGGACUGCACGCAGCCACUGCUGGGGCAGAGAGAAAAGACUGCUGCGUUUCUUUAUGAGACACCCAGAGAAAACAGGGGAACGUAAGCCAGCUCUCAAAGGAAAGCUGGCCAAAAUGGAUCAAAACUCAAAAUGCAAAAAACCAACUAUGAUGAUGGAAUGGUUUGCCUCACAAACAUAAAGUAAGGCGAGUCUCUCAUUUGAAGAAUAAGGGGUGAUCUGCGGUUUGGGCCCGAGGGAGAGCAAGUGCUGGUUCGUGAUUGAGAGCAAAGAAGGGGGCUGUUUCUGCAGCCCUGCGCCUCCUUCCCUGGAGCCUGGGAGGUGCUGGGGGGGGGGCCCGGCAGAGAGGGUCCCAGAGCUCAGAGGGCGCCCGUGGAGAUGGAAACGGGGCAGGUGCCUGGGGUUCUGGGCAACUGGCAAUGUGCCUUCAGGCCUGAGAGAGGGUCCUGGCGGCAUUUCUGGGGCCACCAGUGGAAAGAUGAGUCACCUCUACUGUGAAGCAGAAGAGGCAGGAGUAAUGGGGGAGGGCAGUGCAAAGGCCCGGAUGCCUCCACUUUCUGGGAUUUACUUUGUUCUAAGCUACCGCAAUCUGAAGGUUUAUGCCCCCCACCCCCAAUUUUUUUCGGCCACGCCCUUGGCAGGUGGCAGUACCCCAGGCCAGGGACUGAACCCAUGCCACAGCACUGGAUCCUUAACUGCUAGGCCACCAGGUUACUCUCCCCACCAAAUCCACAGGCUGAAAUCCUAACACCCAAAGGCAACGGUAUCAGAAGGUGGGAGGUGCUUAAGUCUUUAGUGCUCCCAGCCCCCUGCGCUUGUGUGUGGGCACGGCAGGAAGUCUGAGACCCAGAAGAGGCCAGCUCUGACUUCCAGCCUUCAGAGCUGUGAGAAAUAAAUGCCUGUUGUUCAGUA
Molecule: long non-coding RNA, 2008 nt
Organism: Sus scrofa (pig)
Lineage: Eukaryota; Metazoa; Chordata; Mammalia; Artiodactyla; Suidae
Source: RefSeq, a predicted model, not a curated record